UACGAGGGGGGCAAGCGUUGUUCAGAAUUACUGGGCGUAAAGGGCUCGUAGGCGGCCAACUAAGUCACACGUGAAAUCCCUCGGCUCAACCGGGGAACUGCGUGUGAGACUGGAUGGCUUGAGUUUGGGAGAGGAAUGCGGAAUUCCAGGUGUAGCGGUGAAAUGCGUAGAUAUCUGGAGGAACACCGGUGGCGAAGGCGGCAUUCUGGACCAAUACUGACGCUGAGGAGCGAAAGCCAGGGGAGCAAACGGG
RNAcentral lists this ribosomal RNA (253 nucleotides) under uncultured bacterium. Its description in RNAcentral is "partial 16S ribosomal RNA". It matches the Rfam family "Bacterial small subunit ribosomal RNA", at positions 524 to 776 of the family's 1533-position model. The record is from RNAcentral.